AUAAAUAAGAGUGCCAAUUGUUAAAUCAACAACGGGAGUCACUGGGUACAUGCUCCCCACGUAGGAUCUCUGUCCUUAAUGUGUUUUACUAUGAAACUUAAAAACAACACUACUAGUCGAACAAUACCCUAUACCUUGUGCGGUUGUGUGAGUACAGCCUGUUGAAAUUCUUGCUUAGUAUAUACUAAGUUGAUCUUCAGUAUAUGAAGGUCUUUUAUGUACUGAGCUUAAAUACUGAAGCUUCAUGAAUUUUGACUGAUGAAGUACAUCAGUGUAAUUGAGGUGAAGAAACUUGACUGGCUAACUAGUUUAUUUGAAGUCACAAGCCUACCUGCAAGUCAACAUGUUUCUACCAAGAACUUUGAGUUGUUCAAACAUAACAAGCCAUUAACUACCAAACUAACCACAUAAGAAGGAACAAAAUUUGAAGUUUAUUAUAGAAAAAUAAUUAUGGUUCUAUUCUCAAUAGAAAUUUAUUAUUGAAGACUACAGUAAAAAUGGUUAAGUCUUCUAAAUAUUAUAUAGAAUGAAUG
This is a non-coding RNA of Oryctolagus cuniculus (rabbit), 533 nucleotides long. Lineage: Eukaryota; Metazoa; Chordata; Mammalia; Lagomorpha; Leporidae. The record is from RefSeq and is a predicted model, not a curated record.